UGGGAGGAGAGGGUCUAGUCGCUGUCCAAGUUUUGCUUGGAGAGAGGAAAGUCCGGACUUCGAAGAAGAGGAUACCAGUGAAAUGCUGGGGGUCGUAAGGCUACGGAAAGUAUAACAGAAAACAUACCGCUGUUUAUUAUUAAUGAGCAGAUAGGCUGAAAAUGCUCGCUUUAUGAGUUUGAGCCACCAGAGGGUAACUUCUGGUUUUAAAGUUAUAAACCCUAUCCGAAGCAAGGCCAAACAGGGGCGAUAAAGAACUACUCUUCGUAGUAUGCCUUGGCAAGGUCGCUUGAGGGAUGCAGUGAUGUAUCUCCUAGACGAAUGACUGACCGGUUGUGCUUUAAAUUAAAGUACAACUUUACAGAAUCCGGCUUAAAAUCCUCCCAUUUU
Molecule: RNase P RNA, 390 nt
Filed under: Chlamydiales bacterium
Lineage: Bacteria; Pseudomonadati; Chlamydiota; Chlamydiia; Chlamydiales
Description: RNase P RNA component class A
Rfam family: Bacterial RNase P class A
About the family: Ribonuclease P (RNase P) is a ubiquitous endoribonuclease, found in archaea, bacteria and eukarya as well as chloroplasts and mitochondria.
Source: RNAcentral